GGACUACCCGGGUUUCUAAUCCUGUUUGCUACCCACGCUUUCGUGUCUCAGUGUCAGUAGUGGUCCAGAAAGCCGUCUACACCGCAGGUGUUCCUCCUGAUAUCUACGCAUUUCACCGCUACACCAGGAAUUCCGCUUUCCUCUCCCACACUCAAGCCCCCCAGUUUUCGGCGCACCCUCCCAGUUGAGCCGGGAGAUUUCACACCAAACUUAGAGAACCACCUACACACUCUUUACGCCCAGUAACUCCGAACAACGCUUGCUGCCUACGUAUUACCGCGGCUGCUGGCAC
This 292-nucleotide ribosomal RNA is filed under the name uncultured Acidobacteriota bacterium. RNAcentral's name for it is "uncultured Acidobacteria bacterium partial 16S ribosomal RNA". The record is from RNAcentral. Lineage: Bacteria; Pseudomonadati; Acidobacteriota.